Molecule: small nuclear RNA, 18 nt
Filed under: Arabidopsis thaliana (thale cress)
Lineage: Eukaryota; Viridiplantae; Streptophyta; Magnoliopsida; Brassicales; Brassicaceae
Description: snRNA_02387
Source: RNAcentral
AGACAGCAGGACGGUGGU